Molecule: long non-coding RNA, 472 nt
Filed under: Homo sapiens (human)
Lineage: Eukaryota; Metazoa; Chordata; Mammalia; Primates; Hominidae
Description: non-protein coding lnc-MKRN1-1:1
Source: RNAcentral
AGGCGGCUCCUCCGGGCGCGUUGCGCUGCGGGUUUCGCUGCGGCCUGUGGGCCCCAGGCCAAGCCUUCGUGCGCCCUAGCUCAGGAGGGCCCUCCUGGACCCUGGAGCGGACCCUCAUCGUGGUGAAGCCAGAUGGGGCACAGCGGCGGCUCGUGGGGGACGGGAUCCAGCGCUUUGAGAGGUGGCUUCACGCUGGUGGGGAAGGACGCAGGCGCACAGCGCGUCCUUGCCGGGCACCGCGAGGGCCCGCGAGGGCCCGCGGGGGAAGCCCUGCUACCCAAGGCCUGCGAAGGGUCCAGUGUGGUCCCGCGCCCCGGGACCAUACAGGGAGAUUUCAGCGCCCACAUCAGCAGGAACUUCUUCCAGGCAAGCAACUCCGUGGAAGGGGCUCGGAGAUGGAUCCCGCUGUGGCUCCCGAGCAGGGACCUGGUGAGCUGGGCACGGCGCCAGCACAGCCGCAGCCACCCAGCCU